UCUGCCACUGUGCCAAGGUAAACAGAAGAAUGUGGUCCCAGGCAUCUGGGGGACAAAUCUUGUAGCUGCCCGUUAGCAAGCCCUUCCCACUCUUCUUUGUAGUACAUUUAGCUGCAACCUGGAGAGCUAAUCUGAGCAUUCAUGAGAAAAACAAACAAGCAGAAGAACCUUCUGGAGCUAUGCAAGAUAGAAGCAGAUUGUGUCCCGCAGCUGUGACAGCAGCUCCUGGGAGCCCACUGAGGCUGGAGAAGAGUGACUGCUGAGUGGCUUGAGCUUGGGCACAAAGCCACCCACAGGGAAGGCAGAGCCCCCAGGCUGAGGGCUGCAACAGGGGGUCCCAAGUUGUUCUGCUACAUCCCACACUGAGAGCCAUUUCUCUGAUACAUCAACACUUCUGCAGCCAAGUGCACGUUGUGAGGCUCUUCUUGCUGGCUUCCUAAUGGCCCCAUCAGUGGCCUGAAGAGAGAAGGGCUUACUCACAUUGGACGGAUUUCUGCCUUCAUUCCUGUCCAGCUGUUGUGUAUGCUGACCUUCUGUAUGUAACCAAGUACCUCAGCCGGGAUGGACCCACGUACAGCAUCUUAUCAUCUCCCAGGUUGGGAGGCUGGGCAAAGCCAAGGUGAGGGCACCAAUAGGCUGGUUG
RNAcentral lists this long non-coding RNA (643 nucleotides) under Mus caroli (Ryukyu mouse). RNAcentral describes it as "lncRNA (MGP_CAROLIEiJ_G0006373.1)". Lineage: Eukaryota; Metazoa; Chordata; Mammalia; Rodentia; Muridae. The record is from RNAcentral.